GUUGUUUUUAAAUAAAACAAUUUUUGUGAAAAAACAGAAAACGGUAGAACGUGUUUUCUUUCAUUAAAGCAUAUUAUGACUAGAAGUUUUGGUAUGCAUCUGACCGACUUUGAAUGUGAGUGACUUUUUUUUUUUCUUUUUUUAAUCAGGAGGUGUAAUUCAAAAUGUCUGAAACAUCAUCAAAGAUGCCGUCACACAAAUGGUAUGUGGGGCAUUCUCCCACUAACACUAUAACAUUCCUCCUCCUCGGCUGAUUUCCACCCUGGAACCGCGAUAGCAUUUCUUCAAGGUGGAUCCGCGUUUAUGUCUAUUGACACAACAGGUUCCUGCGUCCAGGUUCCGCUCCUGUGGGCGUAUGGAGAUUUUACGCCAUCGCCACUUCUCCCACUGGCUUCGAAAGCGGUUGUGGGGGAGUUAAACAUCUAAGAAAAUGCAAUAGUCCGAUACUCACAAACUAUUGUCUUGUCUUCAGUUCGGUACUGUUGUGAGUGUUUGGCUCAAGCGUCUGUGUCUGUAGUCGGUUUGUCUAAAACAGUUCAUCUCCACUGUCCACCUGCUAGCAAAGGUACCAAAAAAUUUGUAAUCAACGAAUAGGCUUUAUAUUUAUAAGGUUUUUUUUCUAUUUUUUUUCUCCUUCCUUUUCUCCUAAGAACUGUCGAAUUUUGACUUAGCUGGAUAAAGUACAUUACAUAAGAAAUAAUCUAGCGGGCCUUGCUACCUAAUUAUUUUAGUAUCUUAAUAGUAUUGAAUACUUAGUCUAUCUUUCUGCGUCUACUGCUGCUGCCGCUGUUGUUGCUGCAGUAGGAACUGUUGCUGUCGUUUCUGGACUUUCCUUUCCUAGUCAAUGCGGUUGAGCCUCGUCACGACUGAUGCCGCGAACGUUUUUGCGGCGUCCCAUUUAGUGAUGGUCGAGCACAUAUCCUGGACGAAUCUUGCGUGGGAUGGCGGGUGUUCGAAUGUCUUCGCCAAUAUUACUCGUUCUUCAGUGAAACGUCUGCAGUGAAAGGCCACAUGUUCUGCGCUCUCGACUGUAUUCGAGCAACUCGGGCAAAAAGGGCUGUCGGCGAGCUGGAAACGGUGUAGAUAUUCAAGGAAGUAGCCGUGUCCGGUGAGUAUCUGAGUUAGGUAGUAGUCAAUAUCGCCAUGUUUCCUAUUCAUCCACCCUUCAAGAUUCGGUAUGAGUUUGUAUGUCCACCGGCCUUUGGUUGACUCAUCCCAUCUUCUUUGCCAUUCGACCAUCAAUCGCGUUCUUUCUACCGCCUUUUCUGCUAUCGUCGGUUUCACUCCUUUUACUCCAUAGAGACGAUACAGCUCCAUCGCAUGAAUAUCCACUGGUAUCUUUCUAGCAAUAACACAUAUUGCGUCGUCUGAUACCAUUCUAUAAGCGAAUGACAUACGUAGUGCGCCGCGUCUGUGGUAUGGCUAUGUUUAGCCUCUGGCCAUAUCGGCGCCGCAUAUAAUACGAUAGAGUCCGUCACUUUCGUUAUGAGUCGUCUCCUCUCUCCUUGCGGGCCACCUAUGUUAGGUAGAAUUCUCGCUAGUGCGCCAUUACAGCCGCUGCUUUACAAUUAACUGCUGCCAGAUGAUGCUUGAAGCUUAGCCUCGUGUCGAGCAUGACUCCGAGAUACUUAAUCGCCUCCUGUGAGAAUAUUUCGUGUCCGCCAACCAUGAUUCUCAUAAUCCUUUUUUGCUUCCGCGCGCUUAUAAGCACGCCUCUGUUUUCUGGGCUGCCAGCUCCAAUCCCGCAUUACCGAGCCAUCGCUGUACUCUCGCUGCUGCAUCGUUAAAUUUUGCUUCCAGUUGAUCUAACCGCUUGUCACUGCUACCAGCGCAAUAUCAUCAGCAUCUUAUGGGGAAGUUUCAGUUUUAAGACCCCGUCGACCCCCAGGACCGAUCCCUGAGGGACCCCACCAAUAACUUCGUACUUUUUUGGUCCAUUAUCAGUAUCGUACUGUAGAAUACGGUUGCUGAAAUAGCUUCUGAUGAUGCGCAAGAGAUAACAUGGCACUUUCAAAAGUUUUAGGGCUAGCAGUAUGUUAGACCAUUUUGCCGAAUUGAAAGCAUUUUUUACAUCCAAUGUGAUGACUGCGCAAUAUUUCAUGGAGGAGCUUCCUCCGCUGAUAGCCUCCCGAGCAAUGUCUGUGACUAUUCAGAUAGCAUCUACGGUUGACCUUGCUCGUCGGAAGCCAAACUGUUUAUCAGAGAGUCCGCUGGGGCUUUCUAAGCUCUCCUGCAGGCGAUCACAUAUGAUACGCUCAAAAAUUUUUCCAACUGUGUCCAACAUACAAAGACGUCUGUAUGAGGAUGGUUGGUCAGGUUGCUUGCCUGGUUUAAGUAGCAGCAUCAAUCGUUGCAAUUUCCAUCGCUUCGGGAUGGUUCCUUCGGCUAGAGAAGCACUGUAUAGGCUUGCGAACAUCUGGAGUUUAGCCCGUAUCGCAGUUUUAAGUGCAAUAUUAGGAACCCCAUCUGGGCCAGGCGCCUUACAGUCUUUUACACGUUUUGGUGUGUUUAGCACUUCUUUCGGUGUCACCGGUUGCACGUUUAGAAUUGCAUCUAUGCCGUAUUCCUCGUCGCUUGUUUCCCCCUGUGGAGGAAAGAGCGGCACUAUUAUUUGUUGCAGCAAUUGUGAACAUGUGGGCUGCGGUGCUCUAGGGCCUUUCACCUUUUGCAUGACCAUUUAAUACGCCAGUCGCCAGGGGUCAGUAUCUGCACCAUCUCGCAUUUGUUUGAAGCAACGAUUUUUGCUUUCUCUAAUGGCUUUUUUCAGUUCCUGCUUUCGUGCUCUAUACUCUGCAUGAAAGCCAUUCAAGGUUGGUCAUUGACGCGCUCUUGUUGCUCUUCUUCGCGCCUUGAUGCAGGCUUUUCUCAUAUCAGCUAUUUCAGCAGUCCACCAGUAGGCAGGUUUACGUUUGUCGCCGUAUCUAUAUCUGGGCAUCGAUGCAUCACAAGCGGCUUCUAUCUGGGCGGCCAUAUGUUCCGCCAUUACCGUCCGCACUCAUGGCGGGAAGGUAAGCGUCAUCCCAUGCCGACCUAAAUGUCCCGGCAUUGAAGGCCGUUUUUUCCACUUUUGUCGUGUCUUCCAUCUUUCAUAGUUUCGCCUAUCCUCCUGUAUUUCUAUUAUUAUGGCCAGAUGGUUACUAUGUAUGUGGAUGGGCUUGUCGAUCCUCCACUUCGCUCGAUUUGCCGUUAAGCGGGCUGCAAAUGCCAGGUCAAUUAUAGACCGCCCACUACAGCAAUCGAAAGUGAAAAUUCCCGGAGUAUUAAGUAAUACGAGGUCCAAUGCCACGAAGGUUUCCUCCACCCCACGUUCUCGACCAAGCGUUAAAGUCCCCAGUAACGAGGAUUGGACGCUUCCCUCUUAAUAUAGCUCAGCUCGAGGGCCGUCAUCAUGAGUGCGAAGGUUUCUAAAGGCCAUCUAGGCGGCGCAUAGCAGUUUACACAAUAAACACUAUCUAAUUUCGCCCACGUAUAGCCGGAGUCUGCUAUCGGCUUCUUGCAUUGAGGAAACUUGUCAGUCACCACCCAUAUCGCAUAGUGCGACAUCCAACUGUGCGAGUUGAUGUUUUCGUAGGGCUCGGAAAGAAGAGCAACAUCUACAUUAUUUUCAGCGAGGAGAUCUUGGGCUUCUCGACAAUGAUUGCUUUAAGUUUGCGCACCACCUCUUGAUAUCGGGGGCAUUUGCCGCUUCCAGCUGGGUGGGCUCCGUCGCAGAGCACGCUUUUUCAGCGUUUGUACACGUUGCUGCAAGGUGUCCUUCCAUUCCCCACCGUCUUAAAAGCUUCUUACGGUCUUUUCCUUUGCACGAACUCGAAACGUGGUCAAACGCCCAACAUUUGUAGCACCUUUUAGGGGAGAUUACUUCCGACACGCGACAUCGAAUCCAUCCAACCUUAAUGUGUCCAAGCCCCAGGACCUUUUUGGCGUCAUCCACGGGCAGCAAAAUGUACACAGAUUCUGUGCCUCCGUGUGUGUUACGCCUGCUUUUUAUUGAGCUUUUAUCAACGCUUUUCACAUGCGCUUGCUCUACUAUUGCGCUGAGAAUUUCAUCAUCUGUGCUCAGAUCCGGAAUAAGUCCUCUGCACUGAAUAGUAAUGUUGUGCGUCUUGAGGUUGACCGUGGCCACAUUUUCUAGGGCUUUUUCUAUGGCCGCACGGCAGCUUGGUGCUUCUAAAUCCUUGCUCCUCUUUAGUUCGAUCGCAAGUCCACCUUUUUGUGUAGGCCGCAUGGUUUUUACCUUUUCGCUGAGGUCUUUGAGCUCUACACUAUUUUUUACCAAACGCAGCAUGUCCGCGUAUGUCAUGAUAUCUGCCUUUUUUUUCGAUGAUGAUCGCAUCAGGCCUGGGUCUAAUAUACCUGCCCCCUUUUUUAUCUCUCCUAGGUUUCUUUUUUCCUUGGACUUUCGUCCACUCUUUCUUGGUCCCGGGAGGCAUCAGUGUAUGCGGGUAGCUGUCGUCUUUCCUUUUUUUAGCAGAUGGAGACUUUGUUGCUGUCUGCACUGCGACAGUUUUAGGGAUACCUCUAUCUCUGGCUCUUUUAGCGGGUAUUUUUACACUUUUUUGUAGUGCUGCUUGAGUCAUCCGCACCGGUGUCGAUAUUCGGCUUCGAGCUGUGUGAUUACGGCGGUGUGUGUGCGUUUUAUUAUGCUACACAUAAUUUCCAAUAAUGGUGCAUUGCUUGCUUGGGCUGUUAAUCUGCUUGUACGGCGUUGGCUCGUUUCAGGCGUCGACGCGUUGUCCUCCGUUCAGUGCUCCGCUUAAAUGCUUCUUCAGUUUCGGAAUUCACGUUUCCGUUGUUUUUUGUUUCGUGUUUUUGUUUAAUUUUUUCAUUUUUGUCCAUUCUAUACGGGCCCCAACUCACAACCGCUAUCUCCACGUGUGUAUGUAGUUUCCGUAAGUCCUAUGGCUAUCUAUGAAGCAGGGAGGCCAUACUAGGAUUGACACUAGUCCUUAUGGGCACCAGUAUUCAGAGCCAGACUUCAAGCCUAAUGGGGAGUCAUCUCAACCCAACCUACAUAGUAACUGAAGACUACACGUUUUGAGCGCACUGUGAGUCCUGCCAAGUUUUAAUAGGGCGGAGGAGCAGCAAACCCUUCUGUAAGUCAUUUUAACUAGAUUUCACUCGGCUUACUCAGAUUACAGAGAUUCACUGCUCCAGCCCGAUCGCUUUCUGCUUCCAAACCAGUAUGCCAUAAUCAGGAUCUUACUGGUAUCGAUCCUGAUAACCCGUAGGCAACGCUAACAUGUUGUAAUCAGCCACUCCUACUAUGGAGAACAGACGCUGACCAGGAUAACCGCUCAAUUUGAGUCCGACGCUCCUGGAUUUUUUGGUCAUGGCGCCCUCGCGAAGGGCAUCUAUUUAAGGGCGGUGUUUAGUCGCCUUGUUGCAGAGAUAUCAACGGAGAUACUACUUCCUCCUCCUCUGCCGCUCUUGCCGGGGGUUGCUUAUUUGUCAAGACUUAUUCACAACUAACCUGCUACUACAGGCCUUCCGGCUAUCCGCAACCUGCCGACCCCCCGGCAGCUUGGAGCUCAGCUAUGCCCCCUGGUCGUGAAAGGACAUUUGGCCUGUAGGACACACAUAUAAACAUUUAUAACAUAUGUAUACAUUCGUACAUAAAUGCAUACAUACUUAUAUAUUCGUCUACACAUCCACGGGAUGUGAUUGAUUGUAUGUCCCCAGCGAAGGUAAGCCCUUGCUGUACAUACAGGUAAAGAAAUACAUUGAUGUGAACUUAUUGAUACAAUUUAGCGAUGCUGACAACGUCAACAUAUGGUUUGCCUCAUCUUAUAUCACACACAAUGCAGAGGAACCACCUACAUAACUGCUCACAAGGGCUGUGAUAGAAGACCUCUUCAGACGGGAUAUUCCUUUGAUACUGGGUGCGGAUGCUAAUGCAUCCGUCACUUCUGGAUCAGACCAUAGUGUUUAAAUACCAACUGUGAACCGCAGACGCAUAAACUGAGGAGUGUGCCAUCAUAUACCUAAUUCGCUCAAAGCUGAAAUCCGGCGCAAACGUUGAGCUAACUUCAGCGUGUCAACGGGCAGCGAAAAUAACUUGCCCUGUGAGAGCCAGAAGAGAGAAACCGAAACCUCCAUGGUGGCUCACUUAUGCAGCAAACCUGGGAAGGGAAUGCUGCCCUAAAUAUGAUACAAUACAACAUAUAACAUAAUACGCAAGAAGGUCCAACUCUUGGGGCGAAUAUAAGGAUUGCCAACGUAGAUUUAAGUAUGACAUAAGGGUGGCUAAAAUAUCGUCUUAGGGAGACUUCUGUAAAAAAGAUAGAAUGUACUUCGGAGGUAAGAAGACUCCGAGAAGUAUUAUCAAUGAGUCCUUGCAACCCUAGCUAUGGCAUGGAAGAUUGGGCAAUGAACAGUGAAGAAACACUAGAAUUACAAAUGUAUCAUUACGGAGGCAACAGAACACAUCUUAAAGACUACAAUGGGAAGCCCCCUAUAUAUUUUAUAACGGAGGAUAACAUAAAACUCACCAUUGGCAGUUUCUUGGUAAGUUUUUUAGUACCAGAAUGGUAACAAUUCGUACAAACUACCGCGUACGAGAGCACCACUAUUUUUAAAUCGUCAAACAUUUAAGGAAAUAAAAACCAAUUCUUUUGCGUACAAUACAUAUUGCCAGAUAUACAUAAAUAUAGUCGUAUACGAACACGGUACGUCUGGAAAAGAAAUACAUAUGUGCAUACAAAGGUUCUUACACAUCUGUUUUGUGCCUAUUAUUUUUCAUAAUCAAAGUAAAAUAUAUAAAUAUUUAAGUAAAAUAUUUUUCAAAAUGUAAUUAAAAAUACAUAUCCCUCAUUUUCUUCAAUAGAGUAUAGUCUAACAAAAAAUUUAGAAAAGUAUGCAGAAAUGAUUACAAGCUCUUCUUUUAUGCUGUGUAACGCCUUUUUAGGAAAGCAUAAUAAAUUAAAACUUUGAAGCUGUUCACGACAUUUUGGUUUUUUGAGUUUGCUCUUGCAAAGAUUAUUCCUAUUGGGUUACUUUCAAUCGGCUGAUUCCAAUUGGGGAAUCACGCCAGAGCGGAAUUGACAUUUGCCUUUAUAUUUUACGGUGUAUAUAAUGAUUGUGAUUCCCCAAGAGAUAAAGAAGAGGUUCGUAUAAACUCUGAUGUGCCUAUAAAAUUUGCAGCAUUUUAAAGUGGGGCUCAGUCAAGAUGUUCAACCUGAAGCUUUUUAUUUUCGCAAUCUUUAUAAUGUAUAUAUUUAUACUAUAUGAACAUUGUGCAAACGCAGCUGUAUCUCAUCCUGGAGGCAGAUACCCAAUACCGUUUCCGCCGAAGCCAUCGCCGUAUAACCCAAAUGCUCCACGAUUCCCUUUCUGAAGAAAGAAAUACUCAAAUGUAUUUAAUACACUUUGGAAAUAUUUAACACCUGAAAAUAAAGUGAGCUACAACAUUUGAAGAGAGUUUUUAA
Molecule: long non-coding RNA, 7424 nt
Organism: Anastrepha obliqua
Lineage: Eukaryota; Metazoa; Arthropoda; Insecta; Diptera; Tephritidae
Exons: 2
Source: RefSeq, a predicted model, not a curated record